GAUCCUGGCUCAGGACGAACGCUGGCGGCGUGCUUAACACAUGCAAGUCGAACGGUAAGGCCCUUUCGGGGGUACACGAGUGGCGAACGGGUGAGUAACACGUGGGUAAUCUGCCCUGCACUUCGGGAUAAGCCUGGGAAACCGGGUCUAAUACCGGAUAUGAGCUCCUGCCGCAUGGUGGGGGUUGGAAAGUUUUUCGGUGCAGGAUGAGUCCGCGGCCUAUCAGCUUGUUGGUGGGGUAAUGGCCUACCAAGGCGACGACGGGUAG
Molecule: ribosomal RNA, 268 nt
Filed under: uncultured bacterium
Lineage: Bacteria
Description: partial 16S ribosomal RNA
Rfam family: Bacterial small subunit ribosomal RNA
Source: RNAcentral